UGCCUUUGUGUUGCCCAUUCAUUCACUUCCAGAGCGAAUGGGGUGUCAGAAAAGGCAAACAGAAAUUCUUGCGGAAACUCCUUAAGGAGAUGGUUGUUUACCUUUCUCCUCCCGGGUUUUGCAGGAACAAGA
This 132-nucleotide small nucleolar RNA is filed under the name Tinamus guttatus (white-throated tinamou). RNAcentral's name for it is "Small nucleolar RNA SNORA13". It matches the Rfam family "Small nucleolar RNA SNORA13". Rfam says of the family: ACA13 is a member of the H/ACA class of snoRNA that guide the sites of modification of uridines to pseudouridines. Lineage: Eukaryota; Metazoa; Chordata; Aves; Tinamiformes; Tinamidae. The record is from Rfam by way of RNAcentral.